Molecule: long non-coding RNA, 1119 nt
Organism: Ctenopharyngodon idella (grass carp)
Lineage: Eukaryota; Metazoa; Chordata; Actinopteri; Cypriniformes; Xenocyprididae
Exons: 3
Source: RefSeq, a predicted model, not a curated record
GUUAAACCGAAGAUGUUCUUGUGCUUUAAAAUUCUCUUUUUCUUCAAGAUGAGAUCAGUAUGAUGGAUCCUGAUGCCAGUGAUCCUGAUGAAAGCAUUUCUGAGGAUGAUGUUCCUGCUGGAGCUGCAGGCGUCGCCAGUAAUGCUGAUGUUCAGAAGAUGCCCAUUGGGAAAACUGCUGAGUUUCUCAAGAGAAUGAGAGUGAGGCAGAAAUUGAAAACAGAAAGGAAAAGGACAAGACGGAAAGGACAAAAAGUUUGCUGGUCAAAUGCUGAAGUUACAGCUGUAAUUGAUCAUUUUAAGGCACAUAUAACCAAAGGAAAACUGUGGACAAGACACAAGAGAUUUUGUAAGAAAUCAAGGAAUUAGCUUGAAAAGGAAAGCACAAAAUAAGUGAUGUUACAUUGUGUCUCAUUUGAUGCUGUUCUAUAAGGAUUAUUAUUUUAGUUGUUGGUUUUGUUAGUUUCAUUCUAUAGCAUGAAUAUACUAAGACUUCACUCUGUAAAUCUCUAUAAAGUUUAACUGUUCUUUAAAGCAGUAGUUUGUCACAAAAACAUGACAACUUAACAUUCAACAUUAUUAUUGAUCUGACUGCAUUGACACUAUUGUAUGAGAACUGAACUGAGCUGGACGAUGACAUGACCGUUGUCUUCAGAGCUGCUGCUGCUGUAUAGAUAAAGUGAACUAAAUUAAUAACCGAUAAGCUUUACAACAUAAUUGAAUCAACACUGAACUGACACAAGCUGGACUAUGACACUAUACUCUUCUAGAGCUGCUGUACAGCCCAAACAAUCUUUGUUGAACAACGUUCCUGUUAUGAGGGCUGCUUUGAAACAAUAUGUAAUUUAAAAAUGGCUUUAUAAAUAAAGGUGACUUGACUUGAUUCAACAAUUCUGUUUACAUUUUUUCAAAGUUUUGAAUGGUUGCCAUUUCAAUAUGUCAAAACAGUAAUGAUGCUGUAUGCUUUCUGAAAGAUUACACUGUUGUGCAUGUGUUAUCGACCUAGUUUUUUAGUUGUGGAUGUCAUUUUCCCCUUAAAAUGGCAUGCCAUGAUGGUAUUACAUGGUUAAAACUGGAAAAACCCAAUGUUUAUGUUGUUAUUUUAAGUCAUAAUUAAAGU